RNAcentral lists this long non-coding RNA (565 nucleotides) under Piliocolobus tephrosceles (Ugandan red Colobus). RNAcentral's name for it is "lncRNA (ENSPTEG00000007344.1)". The record is from RNAcentral. Lineage: Eukaryota; Metazoa; Chordata; Mammalia; Primates; Cercopithecidae.
ACUCUAAAACCUGUAUUCUUCGUGUUAGAUCAUGUAGUACUGGUGAAUAUUGUGUUAUUAAACUUGAUACAUGUUAUUCUCUUAAAGCUAUUGUUUUCUUUGUAGAAUGUUCCAGAACAACACUUAACAAAACGAAGAACUAUUUCUCAGCAACCAACAAGGACUGUUUCUCAACAAGCAAUCUUCUCAACAAGGAAGAAUCUGAAAACGACAUAUGGUACUGUGAGAACAGGAAAUAUAACUUUGCUUGAGGGCAGUGGUUCUGACAGCGAAAAUGAAGAUGGGGUUAAAAUCCAUCCUGAAAUCAUCAGUGGUCAGCCUCAUCGACCUACACACCCUGGUCUGAAACCUUCCCUCAAUCCUAUAGUGAACCCUGGUGUUACAAAGGUAGAUUGGUUUUUUUGAAAUCUUUCCCUUCCCCAUGCUUUUUCACAUACAUCCCCUCAAUCUUAAUAAUGAUGACAGAGAUCCUAGAAAGAAAUACAAGCCCUCAAGAUGAUAACAGAAAACAAGUCUUACCAGAGAGAUAGAUGCAUGGGAUUGAGAUUUAUGAAAAAUGGUGGGA